Alexandromys fortis (reed vole) is the source of this 350-nucleotide long non-coding RNA. RefSeq lists it as uncharacterized. Lineage: Eukaryota; Metazoa; Chordata; Mammalia; Rodentia; Cricetidae. The record is from RefSeq and is a predicted model, not a curated record. The transcript is spliced from 3 exons.
UAGUGCGAGUCUUAAUACAAAAGCCAUCAAUAGAAAAAUGCAGAGUGGAUAUUCCAAGGAUCAUGGCUAGCUCAACAGAGAGUCCAAUUCAGCUAAAGUGCCCCAAAGACUGGCUGCCACACCAAAACAAAUGCCUACAAUUUUCUCAAGAGACCAGUGUUUGGAAGGAAGGUCUAUCUGACUGCGCUAGAAAAGAAGCCACUUUGCUGCUCAUUCAGGAUGAAGAAGAACUAAGAUUUGUAAAGAACUCUGCAAGGGAAAAAGGCAAUUCAUUUUGGAUUGGACUAAGUUACUCCAUGUCAGAGAAGCACUGGAGAUGGAUAAACGGCUCCACUUUAAGUUCUGNGGUA